GUGGGGAAUCUUGCGCAAUGGGGGAAACCCUGACGCAGCGACGCCGCGUGAAUGAUGAAGGCCUUCGGGUUGUAAAGUUCUGUUUUGGGAGACGAAACCUUAAGGGUCCAACACACCCUUAAAUUGACGGUAUCUCAAGAGAAAGCUCCGGCUAAUUAUGUGCCAGCAGCCGCGGUAAUACAUAAGGAGCAAGCGUUGUCCGGAAUUAUUGGGCGUAAAGAGCUCGUAGGCGGUCUUAAAAGUCAGGUGUGAAAUUAUCAGGCUUAACCUGAUACGGUCAUCUGAAACUUUAGGACUUGAGGAUAGAAGAGGAAAGUGGAAUUUCCGGUGUAGCGGUGAAAUGCGUAGAUAUCGGAAGGAACACCAGUGGCGAAGGCGGCUUUCUGGUCUAUUUCUGACGCUGAUGAACGAAAGCUAGGGGAGCAAACAGGAUUAGAAACCCCAGUAGUCC
This 451-nucleotide ribosomal RNA is filed under the name uncultured bacterium. RNAcentral describes it as "bacterial SSU rRNA". It matches the Rfam family "Bacterial small subunit ribosomal RNA", at positions 354 to 796 of the family's 1533-position model. The record is from RNAcentral.